Non-coding RNA from Triticum urartu, 176 nucleotides. Lineage: Eukaryota; Viridiplantae; Streptophyta; Magnoliopsida; Poales; Poaceae. The record is from Rfam.
GUCGAGAAGAGGAAGAAAAGAGAGCUUGAGAGCAGUGUGAAUGGGAACAUGGAGGAAACCCUAACUUGCUUUGUUUUCAGUUUUCACCUCUAGUGGGAGGUGAGAAUUUAGUUUGGUGUUUCCCGAUGCCUCCUAUUCCUAUUGUUCUCAAGCACUCCUUCCUUUUCUUUUUGGCU